AAGAGAAGACAGGAGAACGUACCUAUCUGUGUUCUGUUCUUUUUUCCUCCAGAACAGCAGGGGAUAUAUGGGUGGGAACGUCUCCCCUGCAGUUCACACAUGAUGGGGGCUGAAGGAGAAGACAAGUUAUCUCCUGAUGUUCUGUCAUCCUUUUAUCUGAGUAAUAACUAAAAGGAAAAUUUCUGAUUUAAGUCCAAGAAAGGAGAUCAGUCAGAUGGCCAGAUCACACAUGCACACCUCCGCCGCCUCCAGUUCUCUCCUGCGGUGGCUAGGGCCCCUUGGAGUCUGAUAUGGAGAAAUGCAAUGUAAGGCUGCAUUCUCCUUUGUGUCCACUUACAUAGGAAUAAAUGCCACCCAACAGAAGGGCUACUACUCUAAUGAGCUUCCAGUGACUAGAAGGUUCCACAGGGUAGUCUUGCCCUGUGAAAAAAGUGCUGCUGUUGCACAAACGGUGAUCUCCAUGAAGAAAGCUUCGCUUCCACUGGCCAAUGACAAUGCUUGCCCAUCUGUCUCUACUCUGGAAUGGGUGCUCACAGCUCUCCUUCUCCUUUUCCUCUACUUUUGGCUGACACCAAUUGUCGGUUUUUUGUGUGUGCAAAUAUUGAUUUGCAAAUUUAGUAAAUUUGUGAGAAAUGGAGAACAUUUUUGCAAAUUUCACGAAUGAGGCUUAAAGGAGGCUUUGUGGAAUCCACAUACCUCAGAACACUGUAUCAGUUGCGUGUCUGCCUCUCUUGCAGCUGAAGAAAAGAUGGUGAACUUCAAGAGGACACGGUGAUGCCCAACAUACUAUGCAACCUUGUGUUCUAUGCACAGUUUUCAAGAAAACCUAAUUAUCCAUCUUCUGUCUACAAACCAACUUUGAAAGGAAGAAUUAGAAGGAGUGAGACCAUCUUGGUCAACCCUUUCAUAAUCUGCCUCCUGAUAGGUACAACGAGCAAACAAUUGGAAUAAUAUGCAAAUAUGGUUGCCUUCGUUUGGGAGAAGUGGAAUGUAGUAAGCCCAGGAGAGUGUGGGAGAGGAAAAUUAAAAGAUGGAAAGGCUGAACAAGCAUUGGUCUAUGGUGGAGACAAAGACAAAGGACGAGGGGAACAUAGGGAUGGAAGAGCAGAGGCAAAA
This 1116-nucleotide long non-coding RNA is filed under the name Pogona vitticeps (central bearded dragon). RNAcentral describes it as "lncRNA (ENSPVIG00000005387.1)". Lineage: Eukaryota; Metazoa; Chordata; Lepidosauria; Squamata; Agamidae. The record is from RNAcentral.